AUCACAUUUUUAAUGAGUUGAAUUUUCUAGUGAACCAUUCCUUUAAGUAACUUAAUAAGUUGAAAUGCAUUGUCCUUCACAAAUGUGUGGUCUGACAGGUUCAAACAGCGUUGGGUUCAAAAACCUUGUAAGGUCUGCGUACACAGUGACAGUCUCCACUUGACAAAGAUGUAGAGCGAUGUACAGCGCUUUUAAGACAGUUGAAAAAAUGACUCAAAAUUUCGUUAGGGUUAGGGUCACCAUAAAAAAAUAAACUAACCAAUUGAGUUUCUGGUUUGUGUAGAUUCAACUGUGCUGUGGAUAUAACUUGAAAAACACUUUUUUGAUGAGAUGGGGUUAAUUUUGUGCUAGUGAAUAUUUCUUCUGUAGUAUCAUUUAAAUUGAAUGCAGCAAAAUAGUCCUCCUUUGCUUUAUCAAGAUUCCUAGUUGAACAUACAUUUACAUUAUGAGAAGGAGGAUAUGUAAAUGAAUUACCUUUAAGCCAGCUAUUCAAUGUUUCUCCAGUAACAUGGUUGUUUAGAAUGUAAGUCAACUUUGUGAUCAAUCCAAGAACACGAAACAAAGCACUAUUUCCGUAUAUUUUCGUAUAUUUUCCUUCCUGUUACAGUUUGAUAUUAGAAUGUUGUUCUGAGUUCACUGUUAACUAUUUGAUAAAUAUAAUUGAUUUCCGCCGCGUAAGGCGGAAUCUUUAAAAUCGCCUUGGAAGAUAGAGAGAUAGGGACCACCUAUAGCCUGAACGCGCGGUGUCCAGAUUAAAGUAUUUUACCCUGGGCCUGAAAGUUGUUUAAUUUCUUAAAAGCCAAUAGAAAUGCGUUAUUUGAUUUUUUAGCCAAUAGGGUCUCAGAUUGUCAGAACCUGAUAUCGUGGCUUCCUGUGAUGCUUUGUCUCGAAGUUCUUCGAGUUUCAGGUCCCACAGGCCAAAGUUUCUUGCCCAAAACAAUCGGUUACCGUUCCUCUUGAUAUGUUUGAAACUCCAAAUCAAUGUUUUGCAAAACAGGAUGUUUGGUCGAUGAGACUUCUCAGGUCAGCCAUAAUCUAACACAGCCAUUAUCAGCAUUUCCAAAAAAAUGUUGACAGAGUAUACUGCAAACAUUAAUUUGUGAAAAAUGAAUCACUAAAACUAAUAUAUAUUUAUAUAAUUUAUUAUAGUCUUAUUUUGGUUAAUAGUAUUUACUUCACAUUAUUUUUAAGGGAAACUAGACGUCUAUGGUUCUUCUAUGAUUUUACAGAAUUUGUAUCAUGAAAAUUUUUAGAACUUUCUAGGUAGAUCCCAAGUUUUUAUACUUUUUAUAACUGUGUGUAAAUCUGCAUAUUUUUGUUAUUUAUUCAGGUGUAAUUAAAUUGAAGUAUAUCUAAAUUGCGUUAUUUGUCGCCCAUAUUUAAUACUUUUCAGACCAGGUUACUUUAACCCCUUUUUUAUAUAAGAACAAUGUUAUAAGAACAUGAACCUUGACAUGAAU
Molecule: long non-coding RNA, 1460 nt
Organism: Hydractinia symbiolongicarpus
Lineage: Eukaryota; Metazoa; Cnidaria; Hydrozoa; Anthoathecata; Hydractiniidae
Exons: 2
Source: RefSeq, a predicted model, not a curated record